CUCAACUCAACUAGUAAAUUGCAUAGAUGAUUGAUCUAUUUAAAUCGAGGGAAGGGUGACUUCUCUUUACUAGAUGACCAGUUGCGCCAAAUGGCGCAAAGACCCGUUUAAAACCAUGUUCGUGUUGAAAAUAUUUGCAUUUUUUCAAUAAGUGUAUAUUUGAGUAGUUAUGGGGACCUCUCCCAGGUUGAACUUCCUUACAACAAUCAUUCUUCACCUUAGCCUUUGUACCUUCCUGGAAAACAGAAUAAGAACACGAUUACUCAAAAUUAAAACCCUAUAAGGGAUUAUUGCAAUACGAAGCUAGCACUGAUACACAAAAAAGACUAGAUUGCUCUAACUAAAGUAAGGGAUGACCGAACUCAUCCAAUAUCUCUGCCGGGAUGGUAAACAGAAUACGUAAAUGAUUACUUAAGUAGUUCACUACUUGCUCCAGCGCCCACUUCCUAAAAGAUCUCAGCUUCGCACCUAAAGCAGGCCAACAACUGUAGCUAUUUUUUUAAUGAAUUUUGGUAUGAUUGAAGAAAACUCUCACCAUAUUUUAAGAUCCCUUCCAGCCUCCUGCUCUAACAAAACACACAUUGUAAUUAAUCCAGCAACGACUUCAUCAGAGCAACAUAGACAUAAAUAUAUAUAUUCUACAUGCACCAGGAUAUCAGGAUGUGGUGACCUUGGUCUCCAUGAUCCUUGACAUCACAACCAUGGAAAGAAACAAUUAGCUACUUGACAAAAUGACGGCAGCGGCCCAAUGUCGAGAAAAGGAGGAGGAACCACAAGACAUGCCUUCUUAAAUUUUAUCAAGGUUAUAGAUACAAAAUAACAUAGCUCAUGAACAGAAUCUAAAUAGGCAACCAGGAGCAUGUGGGACGGAAAUAACUAUGUGGCACAUGACAGCUAGAGCAGCAAAGAAGAAACAUGAUUUAUUGGCUUACCUAUUUUGAAUACCCGCAAAAAAAUUGAAUUUCUUUCAUCUCAAAUGUGUAAGAACACAACUUUUGUAACCCUGUGAGACACCAUUGUAAUCAAAUACCACAUGCGUCCUACCAUAAUGCCAUUCAUUAAAUUAUGCCAUCACCUGCUGUAAAAAUAGGGGAAAUAAUAUUAAGACUUGAACAUGACUGAGAGGCUGAACGGGGAUUAGUUAAAAUAGAAAUCUAACUGUGUGGAUAUCUUUCGCAUGGCCACAACGACCUGCAUGAUAAAUGAGAAUCCCUGAGCUAAACACGAAUCAGAAAACCAGCUAACACAAUCCACAGGGCCUUCCAUUACUCUCCACGUGACUUUUAGCUAACCAGGUUCUGAAUGAAAGGCAAUCCCUCCGUAUCUUUGCAAUGCCCCUUGAAAAUAGAGAAUGAGAGUCAAUAUAGAUUAAAAUAUUGCCAAUUCAUUACUCACAAACCGGCUACAUAUGUUUAAAUUUAAGGCUCUAAAGGAAAAAAGGCGUGAGAAAAUGCUACACACACACACGAAAAGACGAACAAAAAGGACAGGAAAAGCAGCCAAAGUAUACCUUCAGCUUCAGUCGAAUGGUCUGAUUGAGUUCCUGGCCAAAUUGUUCAUACAUCCUCAUCUGCAGCUAUCUAAGGCACAAGGCAGUGAGUGGAGAACAAACAUUCAAAUAAACCACUGUGUGAGUAUAUAAAUGAGACGCAU
Molecule: long non-coding RNA, 1653 nt
Filed under: Triticum aestivum (bread wheat)
Lineage: Eukaryota; Viridiplantae; Streptophyta; Magnoliopsida; Poales; Poaceae
Description: long non-coding RNA (TAES_LNC025815)
Source: RNAcentral